This 432-nucleotide ribosomal RNA is filed under the name Triticum aestivum (bread wheat). RNAcentral describes it as "partial small subunit ribosomal RNA". The record is from RNAcentral. Lineage: Eukaryota; Viridiplantae; Streptophyta; Magnoliopsida; Poales; Poaceae.
AUGGCUUUCUCCCCUGGCACAUGGCCGGCGAUCACUGCUGCGAUCUUCCUGGCAUGGGCGGCGGCCGCGAGUGGCCGCGGCGUCGACGUGGGCGACAUGCUGAUGAUGGACAGGUUCCUCCGGUGGCAGGCUGCGCACAACCGGUCGUACCCGAGCGCGGGGGAGAGGCUGCGGCGCUUCCAGGUGUACCGCGACAAUGUGGAGUACAUCGACACCACCAACCGCCGCAGCGACCUUACCUACCAACUCGGCGAGAACCAGUUCGCCGACCUCACCCGGGAGGAGUUCCUCGGCAAGUUCACGUCUUACGACGGUGAUGCUCGCACCGAGGAUGGUGAUAUGGUCAUCACGACGGUCGUGGGGGGCGGUGACACCGGCCUGUGGUCGUAUGGCGACGACAAUGUCUCCUUGGAUCCGGCCAGCAUGGACUAG